This 561-nucleotide small RNA is filed under the name Pan troglodytes (chimpanzee). RNAcentral describes it as "retained intron". Lineage: Eukaryota; Metazoa; Chordata; Mammalia; Primates; Hominidae. The record is from RNAcentral.
UUUUAUUCACACAUAUUCUCAAAACUUGUUCCUCUGAGAAGAGGCUUCAUUCCUAUUGGGGCUCACACCAAGUCCAUGCCUGCAGUUCUCUUUCCUCUGUCUUCAGGCAAGCACUGAGCGAGGUGACAGCAGCAUUGCGGGAGCGCCUGCACCGCUGGCAACAGAUCGAGAUCCUCUGUGGCUUCCAGAUUGUCAACAACCCUGGCAUCCACUCACUGGUGGCUGCCCUCAACAUAGACCCCAGCUGGAUGGGCAGUACACGCCCCAACCCUGCUCACUUCAUCAUGACUGACGACGUGGAUGACAUGGAUGAGGAGAUUGUGUCUCCCUUGUCCAUGCAGUCCCCUAGCCUGCAGAGCAGUGUUCGGCAGCGCCUGACGGAGCCACAGCAUGGCCUGGGAUCUCAGAGGGAUUUGACCCAUUCCGAUUCGGAGUCCUCCCUCCACAUGAGUGACCGCCAGCGUGUGGCCCCCAAACCUCCUCAGAUGAGCCGUGCUGCAGACGAGGCUCUCAAUGCCAUGACUUCCAAUGGCAGCCACCGGCUGAUCGAGGGGGUCCACC